UGGGGAAUCUUGCGCAAUGGGCGAAAGCCUGACGCAGCGACGCCGCGUGGGGGAUGACGGGUUUCGGCUUGUAAACCCCUGUUGCCCGGGACGAACUUCCUCUUUCGAGAGGAUUGACGGUACCGGGUGAGGAAGCACCGGCUAACUCUGUGCCAGCAGCCGCGGUAAUACAGAGGGUGCGAGCGUUGUCCGGAAUCACUGGGCGUAAAGGGCGCGUAGGUGGCGCCCCAAGUCGAUGGUGAAAGCUCGUCGCUCAACGACGAGUCGGCCACCGAUACUGGGGCGCUGGAGCACUGUAGAGGCUCAUGGAAUUCCGGGUGUAGCGGUGGAAUGCGUAGAGAUCCGGAAGAACACCGGUGGCGAAGGCGGUGAGCUGGGCAGUUGCUGACACUGAGGCGCGACAGCGUGGGGAGCAAACAGG
Molecule: ribosomal RNA, 421 nt
Filed under: uncultured bacterium
Lineage: Bacteria
Description: bacterial SSU rRNA
Rfam family: Bacterial small subunit ribosomal RNA
Source: RNAcentral